UGCCAGCCGCCGCGGAAAUACCGGCAGCUCAAGUGGUCGUCGCUUUUAUUGGGCCUAAAACGUCCGUAGCCGGUCUGAUACAUUCGUGGGUAAAUCAACCAGCUCAACUGGUUGAAUUCUGCGAGGACGGUCAGACUUGGGACCGGGAGAGGUGUGGGGUACUCUAGGGGUAGGGGUAAAAUCCUGUCAUCCUUAGAGGACCACCAGUUGCGAAGGCGCCACACUAGAACGGAUCCGACGGUCAGGGACGAAGCCUAGGGGCACGAACCGGAUUAGAUA
RNAcentral lists this ribosomal RNA (279 nucleotides) under uncultured bacterium. Its description in RNAcentral is "partial 16S ribosomal RNA". It matches the Rfam family "Archaeal small subunit ribosomal RNA", at positions 456 to 735 of the family's 1478-position model. The record is from RNAcentral.